RNAcentral lists this ribosomal RNA (468 nucleotides) under uncultured bacterium. Its description in RNAcentral is "partial 16S ribosomal RNA". It matches the Rfam family "Bacterial small subunit ribosomal RNA", at positions 28 to 507 of the family's 1533-position model. The record is from RNAcentral.
GACGAACGCUGGCGGCGUGCUUAACACAUGCAAGUCGAACGGAAAGGCCCUGCUUUUGUGGGGUGCUCGAGUGGCGAACGGGUGAGUAACACGUGAGUAACCUGCCCUUGACUUUGGGAUAACUUCAGGAAACUGGGGCUAAUACCGGAUAGGAGCUCCUGCUGCAUGGUGGGGGUUGGAAAGUUUCGGCGGUUGGGGAUGGACUCGCGGCUUAUCAGCUUGUUGGUGGGGUAGUGGCUUACCAAGGCUUUGACGGGUAGCCGGCCUGAGAGGGUGACCGGCAACAUUGGGACUGAGAUACGGCCCAGACUCCUACGGGAGGAAGCAGUGGGGAAUAUUGCAAAAUGGGCGGAAGCCUGAUGCAGCAACGCCGCGUGCGGGAUGACGGCCUUCGGGUUGUAAACCGCUUUCGCCUGUGACGAAGCGUGAGUGACGGUAAUGGGUAAAGAAGCACCGGCUAACUACGUG